GGUACUGUACUUUAUUUUAUUAGAAGAUUUAGUUUGCAACUAAAAAGAAGAAGUUUGUUCUCAGAACCA
RNAcentral lists this transfer RNA (69 nucleotides) under Aldisa cooperi. RNAcentral describes it as "tRNA-Ala". Lineage: Eukaryota; Metazoa; Mollusca; Gastropoda; Nudibranchia; Dorididae. The record is from RNAcentral.